GAUGAAGAACGCAGCGAAAUGCGAUACGUAAUGUGAAUUGCAGAAUUCAGUGAAUCAUCGAGUCUUUGAACGCACAUUGCGCCCCCUGGUAUUCCGGGGGGCAUGCCUGUCCGAGCGUCAUUGCUGCCCUCAAGCACGGCUUGUGUGUUGGGCCUCCGUCCUCCUCCCGGGGGACGGGCCCGAAAGGCAGCGGCGGCACCGCGUCCGGUCCUCGAGCGUAUGGGGCUUCGUCACCCGCUCUUGUAGGCCCGGCCGGCGCUUGCCGACAACCAAUCAUCCUUUUUUCAGGUUGACCUCGGAUCAGGUAGGGAUACCCGCUGAACUUAAGCAUAUCAAUAAGCGGAGGA
Molecule: unclassified non-coding RNA, 347 nt
Filed under: soil metagenome
Description: partial contains 5.8S ribosomal RNA, internal transcribed spacer 2, and large subunit ribosomal RNA
Rfam family: 5.8S ribosomal RNA (bases 1-120)
Source: RNAcentral